RNAcentral lists this microRNA precursor (79 nucleotides) under Trichobilharzia regenti. RNAcentral describes it as "mir-3492 microRNA precursor family". It matches the Rfam family "mir-3492 microRNA precursor family". Lineage: Eukaryota; Metazoa; Platyhelminthes; Trematoda; Strigeidida; Schistosomatidae. The record is from Rfam by way of RNAcentral.
AGCCUUCUGUAUCCGUGCUGAGAUUUCGUCAGCGAUCAACCCGUUGGGGGCUAAUGAGACUUCCCAGAUAAAUGAAGUG